UGCAGAUGACGUGAAAUAAUAUUUGCUAUCUUAACAGGGAUGCUGACACCCACCAGGAUCACUUGAUGCA
Small nucleolar RNA from Coregonus clupeaformis (lake whitefish), 70 nucleotides. RefSeq annotates it as small nucleolar RNA SNORD24. The record is from RefSeq and is a predicted model, not a curated record. NCBI's taxonomy places the organism in Eukaryota, Metazoa, Chordata, Actinopteri, Salmoniformes, Salmonidae. The transcript has a single exon.